GAUGAACGCUGGCGGCGUGCCUAAUACAUGCAAGUCGAACGAAACUUCUUUAUCACCGAGUGCUUGCACUCACCGAUAAAGAGUUGAGUGGCGAACGGGUGAGUAACACGUGGGCAACCUGCCCAAAAGAGGGGGAUAACACUUGGAAACAGGUGCUAAUACCGCAUAACCAUAGUUAUCGCAUGGUAACUAUGUAAAAGGUGGCUAUACUACCGCUUUUGGAUGGGCCCGCGGCGCAUUAGCUAGUUGGUAGGGUAAAGGCUUACCAAGGCAAUGAUGCGUAGCCGAAUUGAGAGGUUGAUCGGCCACAUUGGGACUGAGACACGGCCCAAACUCCUACGGGAGGCAGCAGUAGGGAAUCUUCCACAAUGGGCGAAAGCCUGAUGGAGCAACGCCGCGUGGGUGAAGAAGGUCUUCGGAUCGUAAAACCCUGUUGUUAGAGAAGAAAGUGCGUGAGAGUAACUGUUCACGUUUCGACGGUAUCUAACCGGAAAGCCACGGCUAACUACGUG
This 512-nucleotide ribosomal RNA is filed under the name uncultured bacterium. RNAcentral's name for it is "partial 16S ribosomal RNA". It matches the Rfam family "Bacterial small subunit ribosomal RNA", at positions 28 to 507 of the family's 1533-position model. The record is from RNAcentral.